GGAUGAGUAUUCUAAGGCGCGUGGAAGAACUCUCUUUAAGGAACUCUGCAAAAUAGCACCGUAUCUUCGGUAUAAGGUGUGGUUAGCUUUGUAUUAGGAUUUACUCCGAAAGCAAGGAAACUUACAACAAAGAGUCCCUCCCGACUGUUUACCAAAAACACAGCACUCUGCUAACUCGUAAGAGGAUGUAUAGGGUGUGACGCCUGCCCGGUGCUCGAAGGUUAAUUGAUGGGGUUAGCAUUAGCGAAGCUCUUGAUCGAAGCCCGAGUAAACGGCGGCCGUAACUAUAACGGUCCUAAGGUAGCGAAAUUCCUUGUCGGUUAAAUACCGACCUGCAUGAAUGGCGUAACGAGAUGGGAGCUGUCUCAAAGAGGGAUCCAGUGAAAUUGUAGUGGAGGUGAAAAUUCCUCCUACCCGCGGCAAGACGGAAAGACCCCGUGGACCUUUACUACAGCUUGACACUGCUACUUGGAUAAGAAUGUGCAGGAUAGGUGGGAGGCUUUGAGUAUAUGACGCCAGUUGUAUAUGAGCCAUUGUUGAGAUACCACUCUUUCUUAUUUGGGUAGCUAACCAGCUUGAGUUAUCCUCAAGUGGGACAAUGUCUGGUGGGUAGUUUGACUGGGGCGGUCGCCUCCCAAAUAAUAACGGAGGCUUACAAAGGUUGGCUCAGAACGGUUGGAAAUCGUUCGUAGAGUAUAAAGGUAUAAGCCAGCUUAACUGCAAGACAUACAAGUCAAGCAGAGACGAAAGUCGGUCUUAGUGAUCCGGUGGUUCUGUGUGGAAGGGCCAUCGCUCAAAGGAUAAAAGGUACCCCGGGGAUAACAGGCUGAUCUCCCCCAAGAGCUCACAUCGACGGGGAGGUUUGGCACCUCGAUGUCGGCUCAUCGCAUCCUGGGGCUGGAGCAGGUCCCAAGGGUAUGGCUGUUCGCCAUUUAAAGCGGUACGCGAGCUGGGUUCAGAACGUCGUGAGACAGUUCGGUCCCUAUCUGCCGUGGGCGUAAGAAGAUUGAAGAGAUUUGACCCUAGUACGAGAGGACCGGGUUGAACAAACCACUGGUGUAGCUGUUGUUCUGCCAAGAGCAUCGCAGCGUAGCUAAGUUUGGAAAGGAUAAACGCUGAAAGCAUCUAAGCGUGAAGCCAACUCUAAGAUGAAUCUUCUCUAAGCUCUCUAGAAGACUACUAGUUUGAUAGGCUGGGUGUGUAAUGGAUGAAAGUCCUUUAGCUGACCAGUACUAAUAGAGCGUUUGGCUUAUCUUUAAUAAAGCAU
RNAcentral lists this ribosomal RNA (1267 nucleotides) under Campylobacter jejuni. RNAcentral describes it as "partial 23S ribosomal RNA". It matches the Rfam family "Bacterial large subunit ribosomal RNA", at positions 1669 to 2925 of the family's 2925-position model. The record is from RNAcentral. Lineage: Bacteria; Pseudomonadati; Campylobacterota; Epsilonproteobacteria; Campylobacterales; Campylobacteraceae.